GACCCCGGCCCGGGGGAGCAGGCGCAGCGGCUGCGCAGGAGCAAGCUGGCAUGUGGCAGCCUGCGGAUGUUGGGAGGCCACACGGCAAGGAACUGCAGCAUCUCUAGGAGCUGAGGGUGGACCCUGACUGGCAGCCAACAACAAACUGAAGCUCUCAAGCCUACCACCAUAAGGAAUUGAAUUCUGCCAAUAACCUGAGUGAGCAUGGAAGCAGAUCCUUUCCCAGCCAAGCCUCAGACAAGGUUCUGGCCCUGGGAAACACCUUGACUGAAGUCUUGUGAGACCAUAGGAAGAAGACUUAGCUGAGCCAGUCUCAGAUCCUGACCCAUAGAACCUGUUAGAUACUUAGCAUGUGUUGUUUUCAGCCUCUGUGUUUGUGGUAAUUUAUUAUACAAUACAUACUGUUCCCCACCCUAAUACUUGAAACUCCUGACCCCAAUCCCU
Molecule: long non-coding RNA, 444 nt
Filed under: Homo sapiens (human)
Lineage: Eukaryota; Metazoa; Chordata; Mammalia; Primates; Hominidae
Description: HSALNT0005593
Source: RNAcentral